Molecule: microRNA precursor, 190 nt
Filed under: Citrus trifoliata (trifoliate orange)
Lineage: Eukaryota; Viridiplantae; Streptophyta; Magnoliopsida; Sapindales; Rutaceae
Description: miR156 stem-loop (ctr-MIR156)
Gene: ctr-MIR156
Rfam family: mir-156 microRNA precursor family (bases 34-114)
Source: miRBase by way of RNAcentral
UGAAGAGGAAGAGGAAACAUAACGAGAGAGCUACUGACAGAAGAGAGUGAGCACACGCAGGUAAUUGUAUUAGAAAAUAUCUUUGCAGGUGCGUGCUCGCUCCUCUUCUGUCAGCGUCAUUUUUGCAAGUGCUUCCUCACAACCCCAGCACGUCGUAACCCCCAGCCCUCUUUUGCUCUUCCUUCUAUCA